RNAcentral lists this ribosomal RNA (371 nucleotides) under uncultured organism. RNAcentral describes it as "bacterial SSU rRNA". It matches the Rfam family "Bacterial small subunit ribosomal RNA", at positions 526 to 896 of the family's 1533-position model. The record is from RNAcentral.
CGUAGGGUGCGAGCGUUGUCCGGAUUUAUUGGGCGUAAAGAGCUCGUAGGCGGUUUGUCGCGUCGGCCGUGAAAUCUCCACGCUUAACGUGGAGCGUGCGGUCGAUACGGGCAGACUUGAGUUCGGUAGGGGAGACUGGAAUUCCUGGUGUAGCGGUGAAAUGCGCAGAUAUCAGGAGGAACACCGGUGGCGAAGGCGGGUCUCUGGGCCGAUACUGACGCUGAGGAGCGAAAGCGUGGGGAGCGAACAGGAUUAGAUACCCUGGUAGUCCACGCUGUAAACGUUGGGCGCUAGGUGUGGGCGACAUCCACGUUGUCCGUGCCGUAGCUAACGCAUUAAGCGCCCCGCCUGGGGAGUACGGCCGCAGGCUA